RNAcentral lists this transfer RNA (100 nucleotides) under Chitinophaga cymbidii. RNAcentral's name for it is "tRNA-Arg". The record is from RNAcentral. Lineage: Bacteria; Pseudomonadati; Bacteroidota; Chitinophagia; Chitinophagales; Chitinophagaceae.
ACUGCCGCAGGGGGUGCAGGUUCACCUCCAGGAGGCCCCGGGCCUUUGCGCGCUUCAUGAUGGAGUGCGCGAACGGGCUUUCCAGCAGUUCCGGCAGUAC